This 69-nucleotide transfer RNA is filed under the name Craugastor tarahumaraensis (Tarahumara barking frog). RNAcentral's name for it is "tRNA-Val". The record is from RNAcentral. Lineage: Eukaryota; Metazoa; Chordata; Amphibia; Anura; Craugastoridae.
CGAAGUAUAGCUUAAACAAAGCAUCUUGCUUACACCAAGAAAAUGCCUGAUAGUACAGACUAUUUCGAG